CGCACUGCAAGAAUCUUCCUAUUCACAGUUGUGGAGUUUGAUAAUCCGUGCUUCGUGCUCUUCCAAUCUUCCCAAUGAAGUUCCUGUUAUUCCUUGUGUUGAUUUGUGUCUCUACUAUCCUGGUCUUUUGUUGAGAUGUUACUCUGGGGGAAUCAUAGAUUGUUAUAACCUUAUAUCCAGAAGAAGAGGACUCAAUUUGUAAACCUCCUUACUUUUUAUUCAUUGGUAGGUGUCAUGAUUAUCCUCUGGAAUUUUAUAAGGUACAUUCAUGAUUUCUUAGAUGAUAUGCCAAGGAUUCUGGGAACUUGCCUGUAUUAAUAAAAUGAGAUAUUUUUGGAUCUUCUACUAUUCAGACUUCUCCAACUAUCUUCAAUUUUAUUUUCUCUAGCUCCUUACCCUGAUAUCUGUAUCCUUCAUCUAUAACUUUCAUCUUAUU
Molecule: long non-coding RNA, 436 nt
Filed under: Mus caroli (Ryukyu mouse)
Lineage: Eukaryota; Metazoa; Chordata; Mammalia; Rodentia; Muridae
Description: predicted gene, 30484 (MGP_CAROLIEiJ_G0005742.1)
Source: RNAcentral